UACGGGGGGGGCAAGCGUUGUUCGGAAUUACUGGGCGUAAAGGGCUCGUAGGUGGCCAACUAAGUCAGACGUGAAAUCCCUCGGCUUAACCGGGGAACUGCGUCCGAUACUGGAUGGCUUGAAUCCGGGAGAGGGAUGUGGAAUUCCAGGUGUAGCGGUGAAAUGCGUAGAUAUCUGGAGGAACACCGGUGGCGAAGGCGACAUCCUGGACCGGUAUUGACGCUGAGGCGCGAAAGCCAGGGGAGCAAACGGG
Molecule: ribosomal RNA, 253 nt
Filed under: uncultured bacterium
Lineage: Bacteria
Description: partial 16S ribosomal RNA
Rfam family: Bacterial small subunit ribosomal RNA
Source: RNAcentral